UGGGGAAUUUUGGACAAUGGGCGAAAGCCUGAUCCAGCCAUGCCGCGUGUGUGAAGAAGGUCUUCGGAUUGUAAAGCACUUUAAGUUGGGAGGAAGGGCCAUUACCUAAUACGUGAUGGUUUUGACGUUACCGACAGAAUAAGCACCGGCUAACUCUGUGCCAGCAGCCGCGGUAAUACAGAGGGUGCAAGCGUUAAUCGGAAUUACUGGGCGUAAAGCGCGCGUAGGUGGUUUGUUAAGUUGGAUGUGAAAUCCCCGGGCUCAACCUGGGAACUGCAUUCAAAACUGACUGACUAGAGUAUGGUAGAGGGUGGUGGAAUUUCCUGUGUAGCGGUGAAAUGCGUAGAUAUAGGAAGGAACACCAGUGGCGAAGGCGACCACCUGGAUCGGUACUGACGCUGAGGUGCGAAAGCGUGGGGAGCAAACAGGAUUAGAUACCCUUGUAGUCCCUGAGCGGGCUGGCAAGGCGCAU
RNAcentral lists this ribosomal RNA (472 nucleotides) under uncultured bacterium. RNAcentral describes it as "bacterial SSU rRNA". It matches the Rfam family "Bacterial small subunit ribosomal RNA", at positions 355 to 825 of the family's 1533-position model. The record is from RNAcentral.